RNAcentral lists this non-coding RNA (26 nucleotides) under Mus musculus (house mouse). Lineage: Eukaryota; Metazoa; Chordata; Mammalia; Rodentia; Muridae. The record is from RNAcentral.
UGCUGGUCGAGAGCAGGCGCGACAAU